GCUCCGGUCCCACGCAAUGGAAAUCUGUGAACCGUGUCAGGUCAGGAAUGAAGCAGCACUAAGCAGAACCUUUCAUGUGACGUGGGGGCUCCGGGGUCUG
This 100-nucleotide signal recognition particle RNA is filed under the name Lachnospiraceae bacterium. RNAcentral's name for it is "Bacterial small signal recognition particle RNA". It matches the Rfam family "Bacterial small signal recognition particle RNA". From Rfam's summary of the family: The signal recognition particle (SRP) is a universally conserved ribonucleoprotein involved in the co-translational targeting of proteins to membranes. Archaeal SRP consists of a 7S RNA and homologues of the eukaryotic SRP19 and SRP54 proteins. Lineage: Bacteria; Bacillati; Bacillota; Clostridia; Lachnospirales; Lachnospiraceae. The record is from Rfam by way of RNAcentral.